Molecule: ribosomal RNA, 2625 nt
Filed under: Campylobacter coli
Lineage: Bacteria; Pseudomonadati; Campylobacterota; Epsilonproteobacteria; Campylobacterales; Campylobacteraceae
Description: partial 23S ribosomal RNA
Rfam family: Bacterial large subunit ribosomal RNA
Source: RNAcentral
GUAAGCUACUAAGAGCGAAUGGUGGAUGCCUUGACUGGUAAAGGCGAUGAAGGACGUACUAGACUGCGAUAAGCUACGGGGAGCUGUCAAGAAGCUUUGAUCCGUAGAUUUCCGAAUGGGGCAACCCAAUGUAUAGAGAUAUACAUUACCUAUAUAGGAGCGAACGAGGGGAAUUGAAACAUCUUAGUACCCUCAGGAAAAGAAAUCAAUAGAGAUUGCGUCAGUAGCGGCGAGCGAAAGCGUAAGAGGGCAAACCCAGUGCUUGCACUGGGGGUUGUAGGACUGCAAUGUGCAAGAGGUGAGUUUAGCAGAACAUUCUGGAAAGUAUAGCCAUAGAGGGUGAUAGUCCCGUAUGCGAAAAACAAACCUUAGCUAGCAGUAUCCUGAGUAGGGCGGGACACGAGAAAUCCUGUCUGAAGCUGGGUCGACCACGAUCCAACCCUAAAUACUAAUACCAGAUCGAUAGUGCACAAGUACCGUGAGGGAAAGGUGAAAAGAACUGAGGUGAUCAGAGUGAAAUAGAACCUGAAACCAUUUGCUUACAAUCAUUCAGAGCACUAUGUAGCAAUACAGUGUGAUGGACUGCCUUUUGCAUAAUGAGCCUGCGAGUUGUGGUGUCUGGCAAGGUUAAGCAAACGCGAAGCCGUAGCGAAAGCGAGUCUGAAUAGGGCGCUUAGUCAGAUGCUGCAGACCCGAAACGAAGUGAUCUAUCCAUGAGCAAGUUGAAGCUAGUGUAAGAACUAGUGGAGGACUGAACCCAUAGGCGUUGAAAAGCCCCGGGAUGACUUGUGGAUAGGGGUGAAAGGCCAAUCAAACUUCGUGAUAGCUGGUUCUCUCCGAAAUAUAUUUAGGUAUAGCGUUGUGUCGUAAUAUAAGGGGGUAGAGCACUGAAUGGGCUAGGGCAUACACCAAUGUACCAAACCCUAUCAAACUCCGAAUACCUUAUAUGUAAUCACAGCAGUCAGGCGGCGAGUGAUAAAAUCCGUCGUCAAGAGGGAAACAACCCAGACUACCAGCUAAGGUCCCUAAAUCUUACUUAAGUGGAAAACGAUGUGAAGUUACUUAAACAACCAGGAGGUUGGCUUAGAAGCAGCCAUCCUUUAAAGAAAGCGUAAUAGCUCACUGGUCUAGUGAUUUUGCGCGGAAAAUAUAACGGGGCUAAAGUAAGUACCGAAGCUGUAGACUUGAUUUUAUCAAGUGGUAGGAGAGCGUUCUAUUUGCGCCGAAGGUAUACCGGUAAGGAGUGCUGGAGCGAAUAGAAGUGAGCAUGCAGGCAUGAGUAGCGAUAAUUAAUGUGAGAAUCAUUAACGCCGUAAACCCAAGGUUUCCUACGCGAUGCUCGUCAUCGUAGGGUUAGUCGGGUCCUAAGUCGAGUCCGAAAGGGGUAGACGAUGGCAAAUUGGUUAAUAUUCCAAUACCAACAUUAGUGUGCGAUGGAAGGACGCUUAGGGCUAAGGGGGCUAGCGGAUGGAAGUGCUAGUCUAAGGUCGUAGGAGGUUAUACAGGCAAAUCCGUAUAACAAUACUCCGAGAACUGAAAGGCUUUUUGAAGUCUUCGGAUGGAUAGAAGAACCCCUGAUGCCGUCGAGCCAAGAAAAGUUUCUAAGUUUAGCUAAUGUUGCCCGUACCGUAAACCGACACAGGUGGGUGGGAUGAGUAUUCUAAGGCGCGUGGAAGAACUCUCUUUAAGGAACUCUGCAAAAUAGCACCGUAUCUUCGGUAUAAGGUGUGGUUCGCUUCGUAUUAGGAUUUACUCCGAAAGCGAAGAAACUUACAACAAAGAGUCCCUCCCGACUGUUUACCAAAAACACAGCACUCUGCUAACUCGUAAGAGGAUGUAUAGGGUGUGACGCCUGCCCGGUGCUCGAAGGUUAAUUGAUGGGGUUAGCAUUAGCGAAGCUCUUGAUCGAAGCCCGAGUAAACGGCGGCCGUAACUAUAACGGUCCUAAGGUAGCGAAAUUCCUUGUCGGUUAAAUACCGACCUGCAUGAAUGGCGUAACGAGAUGGGAGCUGUCUCAAAGAGGGAUCCAGUGAAAUUGUAGUGGAGGUGAAAAUUCCUCCUACCCGCGGCAAGACGGAAAGACCCCGUGGACCUUUACUACAGCUUGACACUGCUAUUUGGAUAAGAAUGUGCAGGAUAGGUGGGAGGCUUUGAGUAUAUGACGCCAGUUGUAUAUGAGCCAUUGUUGAGAUACCACUCUUUCUUAUUUGGGUAGCUAACCAGCUUGAGUUAUCCUCAAGUGGGACAAUGUCUGGUGGGUAGUUUGACUGGGGCGGUCGCCUCCCAAAUAAUAACGGAGGCUUACAAAGGUUGGCUCAGAACGGUUGGAAAUCGUUCGUAGAGUAUAAAGGUAUAAGCCAGCUUAACUGCAAGACAUACAAGUCAAGCAGAGACGAAAGUCGGUCUUAGUGAUCCGGUGGUUCUGUGUGGAAGGGCCAUCGCUCAAAGGAUAAAAGGUACCCCGGGGAUAACAGGCUGAUCUCCCCCAAGAGCUCACAUCGACGGGGAGGUUUGGCACCUCGAUGUCGGCUCAUCGCAUCCUGGGGCUGGAGCAGGUCCCAAGGGUAUGGCUGUUCGCCAUUUAAAGCGGUACGCGAGCUGGGUUCAGAACGUCGUGAGACAGUU